This is a long non-coding RNA of Cottoperca gobio, 4395 nucleotides long. The record is from Ensembl. Lineage: Eukaryota; Metazoa; Chordata; Actinopteri; Perciformes; Bovichtidae.
AUGUUUUUUUUCAUUUUUUUAUUUUUUUCAUGAAAAAAACAUAAUAUACCACAGUCCACAAUAUACAGUAUGCAAUAGGCUGACACAAUAAUACAGUAAUGUAAGUUUGAUUUGACCCGUUUUACUUCAUAAAAGGUAAACUCUUUGUUACAAACAUUCAAAAUCCAAUCCAGUGUACUCCUGCAUAUGUACUAAACAGCUUCAUUCACCAAUCAACUUUUUUAUCCUGAUGCCUCAACAUGAAGUGAAUAAAGACCAGAGCCGUAGCUGCCAUUCAGGACAAUGUCUUCAGUGUUUUAGGAGGUUAAUGGGGAUUAGCAACCUAGGGGAAUCUACAUCCCAUAAUCAAAAACUUGAUGGGUGUUUUUUCAUUGGCAGUGAAGAACAGCAUUCAAAUCAAAUCAAAUUUAUUUGUAUAGCCCAAUAUCACAAAUUAUACAUUUGUCUCAGUGUGCUUUACAGACUGUACAGGAUAAACAACAUAGUAAAAAUAACAUUUGACAGAGAAUGAUGUUGUAUUGAAAAAGAGAAAGUUUGCAUUUAGCAUUUAAACCUUUAUGUUGGGAAAAAUAUACAGAAAAUAUAUUUUAACAGCUAAUUAGUGGACUUGAACUCAUGACCUCAUUACUUACUAACACAAUUUUCUAAACCUUCCUUGUAUUUACUUUUUCUCACAGUUCUCACAGUGCAGUCAUAUCAAUGUUCUUGCCCUCACCUACCUCUUCCUCAUUCCAGAUGGCACUUCCAGAGAACUGCUUUAGAUCUACUAACAAUCCAGUCCCUCCACGUGCUUCAUCUUCAUCUUCACCUUCCCCAUCUCCCACUUUCUCCUCUGUCUCUCCCUUUGCCUCUGCCUGAUCCGUUACACUGGCUUGAUCCUCUGCUUCCGAACUCAAACCUAAGUUAUCAUCUGAAGUGUCUCCUCUUCCCCUUGCCUUAUCACACUGCUCUACAUCAUCAUUAUCAUCCUCCUCUUUGUCAUCUACCUCACUGUCACUCCCCUCGCUAUCACCCUCCUCCACCUGUCCCUCAUUAGAAUCACUUUGAGGCCACAGUUGGACUCCGAAACGUGUACCCAGAGCUAGCCCUGCCCCUCUUAUCCGGUCCCUGACCCCUCCUUCCUUAUACACCAUGCGCCGCACGGUAUAUUCUCCAUGUGUAUCCCUGUUCAACUUCUUGUACAAGAAUACCAACAAUAUAAUCAAGACAAUUAGGAAGAUAAAAAGGAUCAGCACAGUCCGAGUGGAUGAUUGAUCUGUGACAGUGUCAGACAUGCCUGAAGUGAAGAGAGAGAAAGGGGUUAGCAUGGUCACACAUUAGGAUUCAUUGAUUUCUCUGAAUGUGUUUGUAUUCAGUGGCACUGUCUCUUGGGUCAGAAUAAAUAGUUAGACAUUUUGGGACAUACACAUAUUUGCUUUCCUGCCAUUAACUUGUCUGUGCGGUUAAUAGGUGAAGCAGCUAGUUAGCUUAGCUUACAUAAAUAGCUAGCCUGGCUCUGUCCAAAGUCUCCAGGCUCAAAUAAAUAUUCCAGCACAUAACCCCCUGUAAAACCGCUAAGCGUGUUUUUACACUUUGAUUUUUGUACACAGGCCAGGCUUUGUUACGUUUCCUCGUUUCCAGUCUUUAUGCUAAGAUUAAGCUAGCUGGCUGUAGCUUCAUAUUUACUGUAGGCCUACAGAGUGUUAUGAAGUUUCUCAUUUAGAAAAAAAGUGAAUAAAUGUAAUUCCUAAGAGGUUAAUUUUACGAUUAAUUUAGUAGCUCUUCUGAUUGGGAUUAUUUUUUAUUUGAAAGAAAUUCUAACCUAUACACCUACUUCGGCGCCACAUGGGUGUGGUUUGUCAUAUAAAACAAUACCUUGUGUGCAAGGGAGACUAGAUGAUGCCAGCAAAUAAAUGUCAUUUUUUCGGAGGCAACAACAGGUUGACGCUAAAUAGUAUGUGGGCCGUUUAAACCAUGUCUAAAUACUAUUCCUUUCCAAGAGCACUAGAUAUCCUCUCAAAGUUAUCAAGCUGUAAAUCCUACAAAACUGAGACAGAAUAUAUUUUGAAAUAUAUUUUACCUCCUUUUCCUUUUCCUUUCCCUGUUGAGUAGAAAAGUCCCUUUGGCUUGGUGUCACAGGCAGAAUCUUGCAGUCAAACUCCUUGUACUUUAAAGCAGUUGUUAAUUUUUCAUUGGAAGAAGAUCCACUCAUAAAUUUAUAUUCAGGAUCUAGAAAAAAGAAAAUUAGAAAACUAAAUAACAAUGCAUGGUGUUUCUAGCUAAACCUUUAGAUGGCUUAACAUAAAAUGUUAUCCAUUCAGUUUAAUUUUGCAGUGGCUUUUCAGGUUUAGCUCAUUCAAAAUUAUCGAGGAUUGCCAAUAAUUAUGCUUUAAAAAUCAAUCCAAGGCAUUAAUAUAUUUGGGAAGCUGCUCAAUUUGAACAUAAAAUACUUUUUAGAAUACUAAAAUGUUAUUCUGACACAAUUUUUCAUUUUUUAAUACAUUUACAAUCCAUGCUGGCUGAAAUGUUCAUAAUUGUAAUUCAAACGUAAAAUGGAGAUGUGACAGGAAGUAUUGCCUUGAUCUUGUAUGACUGUCUGCGUUGUCUGAGUGUGACAGGAAGCUAGCAGACCGCUCGCAGCAUUGCUGGUUUCCUGUCAUAAAUGAUAAGCGAACAGCAUUAGUCAGUCUGCCAUGAGAGGAAACUUUUUAGGCAUGGUAAAUGAUACUAUAGAUCAGACAUAAAGUGUUGUAACAUAAAGUUUAAUAAAAAAAAAAUACAGAUGUGAAAUAAGUGCACUUAACGUCCGCUAAAAGCUGUAAUGCGUGAGGAUAACUGACCUUGGCGGUAAAUUAAUACCUUCAAUACUGUAAUUAUACAACCUUUUAAAAGUCCAUUAAAUUAAAGACAAGUAUCUAAACUCAGAAUUAUGUAUAUAUAACCGUAAUUAAAUACAGAAGAGCAGACAAAAAAUGAGGCAUUAAUAUUAUAAUUAAUUAAGUAUAGACAAAAAUAUGUGCAGCAAAAAUUAGUUAAAAAGCUGUUCAAAGUAUUUUAAAAAAGGAAGGAACUAAACUGUAUAACACUUACCCAAGUUGUGAGCAGAAGUUAAAGUUUGUGCUGCCAGAACAAUGGUAAGAGACUGACUUGUGUGAUCUAGGAUAGUUUUUGAACCAUGUGAGAGCAAGUGUGUGUGUGUGUGUGUGUGUGAGAGAGAGAGGGGGUGAUGCAUGAAAUGUGGUGAAGAAAGCUUGCUGCAGCCCUUUGGGGUAGGUGGAGGCUGAAGGGGAUGUGAACAGAAAAUACCAAAUCCAGCAGGGUGUGGUGGAAAGCACAGAUAAUAAUGUGCAAUUGUUUAUGGAGACAAGAAGACAUACACAAUUGAUUUUUUCCCCUGUACAGUUUACGUGUCACUUUCAGUUUUCAGCACAGGUGCGGUUACAUUAUAUUAAGUUUAUUAGGAGCAUUCAUACCCUUUACUGACUAGAACUCACCAACAGGAAAUGUACAUGAUAGAGUGUAUUAAUUUCCUGUGACAGAUUGCUAUCUUGUACAGUCAUGUCAGCGGGUUGCAGAUAAUAACACCUCAAGUCCACAAACGUCAGCUGGGGGUGAACAUGAUGUUUAAAAAAUAAUAAUAAUGUAACUUUUCACUUUGAAGUUAUGCAUUUUUGACAUUACACUGAAAAAGAGGAGUCUAAAAGUGUUACACGAGCCAAAGACAACCCUAGAAGCUAAACCGUGAUCAAGAUAAUUCUUUGAUUUAAGCAAAAAUAUUAAGAUUAUUAUUACCAACUACAUAUUUGAUCCAAUCAAAGUUCAAGAGCAGUGCACAGCUUUUCAAUGUGAAACAAGUCGGCCACAUCCUGUUUUCAUUUCGUCGGCCAGGUCGCUAUAGCCACUGCACCCAACAAAAAGAGGUGUACCAAAUGUGUACAGUCAUUUUACACUGUAAUACCCAGUUGAGGAAAUAAACAUGAGAAUCUUUACACAGUCACAGUAAUACUUUUGGUUUUGCUAUUUUCCUUUAAGAGUGUAAGGUUGUAUUUUCUUUUUACCUUAUCCAUUGUACUUGUUCUGUCUUUUGACUUCAGAAAUGAUGGUUUGUUUGUUUGUUUUUAAUGUCCAUACUUUUGCGAAGAAAAUGUAAUCUGAUUCUAAUAGGUGUUUAUACAGAAAUCCAUGUUCUAUCUGCAACUCUUCAAUAGAGAUUUGAACUUUUAGAAGCUGGAACACCUAUCUUCAACCUCAACAAGUUGAGCUGGACUGAGUUCUGGGAUUUCUCUGAAGCUGUUUCAAUGUUGAUGGCUGAACAGAGUGAUUGUUCUGUUGUAUUACUGCCCUAAUCUGGACUACAGUGCCACCCUUGUUCAUGACACCACCAUCAGCCUCUUUUAUGCCGAAUGGUGGCUUCUG